This is a long non-coding RNA of Oreochromis niloticus (Nile tilapia), 932 nucleotides long. RefSeq lists it as uncharacterized. The transcript is spliced from 5 exons. NCBI's taxonomy places the organism in Eukaryota, Metazoa, Chordata, Actinopteri, Cichliformes, Cichlidae. The record is from RefSeq and is a predicted model, not a curated record.
AUCUUGAGCUUUAUUCUGAAAGGCUUAUGUGGAAAAUAAACAAGCGGACACGCGAUGGUUUUACAUCGUUGUUGACAACGCAUAAAAAUAGGCGCUUGUCAGGUCGUGUGGUUAUAUUAAAUAUAAGCGAAAGAGAGAACCUUCAAGAAAUGAAUAUAGCCACUACAGUGACCAUCAAGACCAUUAAAUUUGGAUAAUAAAACUCGAGGUGGAAACCAGGAGGCAGCCGGAAGAAUACAUCCGAGGACAGGACACAUCAAGGUGCGGCAUGAGGAGAGAUACAACGGGAGAAAGAUGGUGCAGAGAUAAUCGUGGACCAAAGAACCUGUACGCCGUGUCCCGUACGCCAGAAAGCUGCUCUACCAGGAGCUGCAGUCCGUGACCAUCAUCCCUCGACUCGAGCUGUCGCGCUACAGCGAGUGAGCAGGACAAGGACAGAGAUGUGUUGGGUGGAGACGAGGUUGUGCUCAGUGUGCUGAGGUGAAGCAUCCAAACCACACAGCCUGUUCUUCAAUCCGGGAUCGUGUCCCAAAUCAGAGCUGCGGAAGGGUAAGCGUCACAGUGAGUGUGCUGCAGCUGAUGUUGACCUGAAGAAUCGUGUCUCGCAGGUACAGUCUGCAGUCUGUGAAGUGGGGCUCCUGCUGCUCAGGUGUUCUCACUGAAGUCCGUUUCACCUGAUGAGAGGAGGCAGCUCUGACUUGAGGCUGUUCAAGAAUGAGCGCCACUUGAUCUGGUUCCACCUCUACCACAGGCAGAGAAACACAGGCCUGGACUCUUUGUUGGCCAGACAAAAUCAGAAACGGAAAUCAUUGGUUUUUACAACUGGGUCCAGUUCUACCUGCAAAGGAUAUGAGGCCAGGGAGCAUGAUUUGUGGUGUGGCAGCCAUGGGUUGAGCCAGCCCUGCAAACCCUGUGGAUGGACGAUGCAGUGG